GCAUUUCAUAUUGCAUUUCAUCAUGUCAAUCAGAAUUAGAUCCAAGAAACUUUUAAAGAAAAAAAAAACGAAAAAAAAUAAAAUAAAAUAUUUUUUACAAAAAAAUAAAUAAAUAAAAAAUAAAUAAUAAAAUAAAUAAAAUAAAAUAGAAAAAACUUGGACUUGGACCUCUCUCAUUUGAGCCCACAAAGCCAUGAAAAUCAGGUUAUAAAAGAAGGAGAUCAGAC
RNAcentral lists this long non-coding RNA (227 nucleotides) under Lathyrus oleraceus (garden pea). RNAcentral's name for it is "Pisum sativum (pea) long non-coding RNA (PSAT_LNC016625)". The record is from RNAcentral. Lineage: Eukaryota; Viridiplantae; Streptophyta; Magnoliopsida; Fabales; Fabaceae.